Molecule: long non-coding RNA, 934 nt
Organism: Thamnophis elegans (Western terrestrial garter snake)
Lineage: Eukaryota; Metazoa; Chordata; Lepidosauria; Squamata; Natricidae
Exons: 6
Source: RefSeq, a predicted model, not a curated record
CGCAACGCUCCAAAUCAGAACCUUGGCGAUCCGAACGUUCUGUCCGCCCUUCCGAGGCGGCGCGCGCAACCAUGGCGGUCAAGAUCAAGGUGGUUUAUUGCGGAGCCUGAGGCUACAAACCCAAGUUUCUACAGCUCAAGAAGGAACUCGAGAAGGAGUUUCCGGGCAAGCUGGAAAUUAGCGGCGAAGGGACUCCACAAGUCACAGGAUGGUUUGAAGUGAUAGUAGCUGGGAAGACGGUGCACUCCAAAAAGAACGGAGAUGGCUUUGUGGACGACGAUGUCAAACUCAACAAGAUAAUUAAGGCUAUCAAAGCAAAUUUGGCAUGAAGACCUCUUUAGGCCUGGGCUAGCAGUUCAAAAUGCAACAGAGCUCAAGAAAAAAUCUGUUUUGUUCAUCUUGGCGAAUCGCUCAAUGACGGGAGCUGCUGAAAUGUUGCUUGACACCUGGCAGUUCCCUGAAAACUUUGCGCUGGAUGCCAACCUGAUCAAGGCUGGAUGGAAAAACUUGGGCUCCAAUUCAGUGCUUGGGUGUGAAUUAAGUCUGCAACUCCUAACAUACCUGCUUUCUGUUUUCAUUGUGUGCUGCAUGCAAAUACAGCUUUCUUUAUGUUUUUUUUUAAAUACUUGCAUUAUUGACCAGUAAUUGUGAAAAAGGAGAAAAAUAGGAAGAGUGGGAGAUUCAUCAAAUGUUUGCUUUCGUCGUAUCCAAACGCUUCCAAUAGAUGAUGAAACCAGAUGCAAAAAACCCUUUGUCUCGAACAACAAUUUUAGAAUCCUAAAACAUCUUAACUUGAAAAUGUGCAUUCUUCUUUCUUUCUUUCCUGCUGCUCCUCACUUCCCCACUGCAGGAUUGUGUGCUUUAUUAUACCCACUUCUGACUUCUUUGCUCAAACAUUGUCAAAUGCACUGAACGUUUAAUAAAAUGUUACUUC